Molecule: ribosomal RNA, 465 nt
Filed under: Vreelandella stevensii
Lineage: Bacteria; Pseudomonadati; Pseudomonadota; Gammaproteobacteria; Oceanospirillales; Halomonadaceae
Description: partial 16S ribosomal RNA
Rfam family: Bacterial small subunit ribosomal RNA
Source: RNAcentral
CCUACGGGGGGCUGCAGUGGGGAAUAUUGGACAAUGGGCGAAAGCCUGAUCCAGCCAUGCCGCGUGUGUGAAGAAGGCCUUCGGGUUGUAAAGCACUUUCAGUGGGGAAGAAAGCCUUGGGGCUAAUACCCUCGAGGAAGGACAUCACCCACAGAAGAAGCACCGGCUAACUCCGUGCCAGCAGCCGCGGUAAUACGGAGGGUGCGAGCGUUAAUCGGAAUUACUGGGCGUAAAGCGCGCGUAGGCGGUCUGAUAAGCCGGUUGUGAAAGCCCCGGGCUCAACCUGGGAACGGCAUCCGGAACUGUCAGGCUAGAGUGCAGGAGAGGAAGGUAGAAUUCCCGGUGUAGCGGUGAAAUGCGUAGUGAUCGGGAGGAAUACCAGUGGCGAAGGCGGCCUUCUGGACUGACACUGACGCUGAGGUGCGAAAGCGUGGGUAGCAAACAGGAUUAGAUACCCGAGUAGUC